Molecule: ribosomal RNA, 347 nt
Filed under: uncultured Gastrotricha
Lineage: Eukaryota; Metazoa; Gastrotricha
Description: LSU rRNA
Rfam family: Eukaryotic large subunit ribosomal RNA
Source: RNAcentral
GACCCGUCUUGAAACACGGACCAAGGAGUCUAACCUAUGCGCGAGCCAUUGGGAUAUUAUAACAAUACCUAAAGGCAAAGUGAAAGCAAAAAUGGUGAGAUCUGUCGUUUAUUUGUUAAAAAUAGCGGCGGCGCAUCAUCGUCACGCCUUAACUCGGCUUCGGCUGAAGAGGCGCAGACUGAGCGCAUAAGUUGGGACCCGAAAGAUGGUGAACUAUGCGAGGCGAGGUCGAAGCCAGAGGAAACUCUGGUGGAGGACUGUAGCGGUUCUAACGUGCAAAUUGAUCGUCGCAGCUUCGUAUAGGGGCGAAWGACUAAUCGAACCAUCUAGUAGCUGGUUCCUUCCGA